CCUACGGGUGGCAGCAGUGGGGAAUAUUGGACAAUGGGCGAAAGCCUGAUCCAGCCAUGCCGCGUGUGUGAAGAAGGCCUUCGGGUUGUAAAGCACUUUCAGUGGGGAAGAAAGCCUUGGGGCUAAUACCCUCGAGGAAGGACAUUACCCACAGAAGAAGCACCGGCUAACUCCGUGCCAGCAGCCGCGGUAAUACGGAGGGUGCGAGCGUUAAUCGGAAUUACUGGGCGUAAAGCGCGCGUAGGCGGUCUGAUAAGCCGGUUGUGAAAGCCCCGGGCUCAACCUGGGAACGGCAUCCGGAACUGUCAGGCUAGAGUGCUGGAGAGGAAGGUAGAAUUCCCGGUGUAGCGGUGAAAUGCGUAGAGAUCGGGAGGAAUACCAGUGGCGAAGGCGGCCUUCUGGACUGACACUGACGCUGAGGUGCGAAAGCGUGGGUAGCAAACAGGAUUAGAUACCCUGGUAGUC
This 465-nucleotide ribosomal RNA is filed under the name Vreelandella stevensii. Its description in RNAcentral is "partial 16S ribosomal RNA". It matches the Rfam family "Bacterial small subunit ribosomal RNA", at positions 338 to 795 of the family's 1533-position model. Lineage: Bacteria; Pseudomonadati; Pseudomonadota; Gammaproteobacteria; Oceanospirillales; Halomonadaceae. The record is from RNAcentral.